CGCGCGGCGCGGAGCGGCGAUGGCGGCGGGUGGCAGCGAUCCGCGGGCUGGCGACGUAGAGGAGGACGCCUCACAGCUCAUCUUUCCUAAAGCUUGGAGGGACGGUUUGAAGAUGAGGAACUGCAGCAGAUUCUUGAUGAUAUCCAGACAAAGCGCAGCUUUCAGUAUUAAUCUCCAAACAUCACUGCUGCUCGGAGAAACCACAUCCCCAGGCAUAACACCACCUUCCCACUGUCUGGGGCUGACUUGCACAGAAAUUCUGUUGAAGACAGUUGAGAAUUCCUUUGGAGAAAACAGCCCAGCUUGACGUGGGGUUAGGUUGCUGUUUCAAAUAACUCACAGGCCCAGGUGACAUGGAAUCUUGGAGCAGCCUCGUGCAGUGGCAGCCAGUGGCUUCCUGAACGUGCCUCUGCGAAGUGUGAGAUGAGGGGUCACAUAACCACACUGUUGAGUACCUCAUUCCUGGUUUUUGGCCUCCACAUCAUCUUUUUUCUUAAUAUUUCAUGUUUUAAUUUCAGGGUGUUUAUACUUUUUGAAACUAGACCAGAACAUAGUAGACUUUAUAGAGAAAGACCAGUUUUACCUAGAUAAUAAAGGAAGAAUUAAACCGCUGUUAGUUUGAAAUGCUUUUUUUUUUUUUUUUUUUUUUUAAUAAUGGAGAUAGGGUCUUAACUCUUGUCCAGGCCGGAGGAGUGCAGUCGUACAGUCAUGGCUCACUGAAGUCUUGACCCCGCUGCCUCAGCCUCCAAAAUAACUGGGGCCACAGGUGUGCACCACAACUCUCAGCUAAUUUUUAAAAUUUUUUAUAGAGGUGGGGUUUUACUAUGCUGUCCAGACUGGUCUUAAACUCCUGGGCUCAAGUGAUCCCCCUGCCUUGGCCUCCCAAACUGGUGAGAUUACAGGCAUGAGCCACCACAACUGGCCUGAAAUUCUUAAAGGAUGGGAGUGUCGAUGACAGCACCUUGGCAUCGUUGUGCCUAACCUGGGAGACGGAAGAAGCACGCCAUGGGAAGUGUUUACACUUGGGGACAAGUGCUAAGUAUUG
Molecule: small RNA, 1045 nt
Filed under: Pan troglodytes (chimpanzee)
Lineage: Eukaryota; Metazoa; Chordata; Mammalia; Primates; Hominidae
Description: processed transcript
Source: RNAcentral